RNAcentral lists this transfer RNA (167 nucleotides) under Bacteroides xylanisolvens SD CC 2a. Its description in RNAcentral is "tRNA-Undet-???". The record is from RNAcentral. Lineage: Bacteria; Pseudomonadati; Bacteroidota; Bacteroidia; Bacteroidales; Bacteroidaceae. RNAcentral also lists the same sequence under 1 other name.
GGGGCAGUAGCUCAGUGGGUAGAGACGGUCGUCGGUUCGACUCCAGCCUGCUCCACAAAAAAACAAAUAUAGAGGUAGGACAGUAGCUUCGGGAUUAUCUGAAAUGAGGUCAACCGGGGCUUACUUCUUAACGGUGGAUAUUGCUGGUUCGAAUCCGGCCUGUUCUA